GGAGACGUGGCCGAGUGGCUUAAGGCGGCGGCUUGCUAAGCCGUUGUACGUUUAGGCGUACCGUAGGUUCGAAUCCUACCGUCUCCG
This 87-nucleotide transfer RNA is filed under the name Fidelibacterota bacterium. RNAcentral describes it as "tRNA-Ser". It matches the Rfam family "tRNA". Rfam says of the family: Transfer RNA (tRNA) molecules are approximately 80 nucleotides in length. RNAcentral also lists the same sequence under 1 other name. The record is from RNAcentral. Lineage: Bacteria; Pseudomonadati; Fidelibacterota.